RNAcentral lists this ribosomal RNA (466 nucleotides) under uncultured bacterium. RNAcentral describes it as "partial 16S ribosomal RNA". It matches the Rfam family "Bacterial small subunit ribosomal RNA", at positions 28 to 507 of the family's 1533-position model. The record is from RNAcentral.
GACGAACGCUGGCGGCGUGCUUAACACAUGCAAGUCGUGCGGUAAGGCCCUUUCGGGGGUACACGAGCGGCGAACGGGUGAGUAACACGUGAGCAACCUGCCCUUCACUUUGGGAUAACUGCCGGAAACGGUGGCUAAUACCGGAUAUGACUUCCUCACGCAUGUGGGGUGGUGGAAAGCCUUCGGGUGGUGGGGGAUGGGCUCGCGGUCUAUCAGCUUGUUGGUGGGGUGAUGGCCUACCAAGGCUUCGACGGGUAGCCGGCCUGAGAGGGUGACCGGCCACAAUGGGACUGAGAGACGGCCCAGAAUCCUACGGGAGGCAGCAGUGGGGAAUAUUGGACAAUGGGCGAAAGCCUGAUCCAGAAACGCCGCGUGAGGGAUGACGGCCUUCGGGUUGUAAACCUCUUUCGCCUGCGACGAAGCGAGAGUGACGGUAGCAGGUAAAGAAGCGCCGGCCAACUACGUG